AUUACUUUACUCUAAUAAGAAAUUUUGUGGUUAGUUAACUAUGGAAUGGAAGUUUUGCGUGCCCAGCAUGAAAUCUUGAACAAUAUUAGAAAUAAUAAUUCAGUUAACUAUAAUUAUAUAACAAAAAAGGUGCCAGCAGUUGCGGUCAUACCUUAAUAUAAAUAAAAUUUCAUUAGAUUGGGUUAAAAUUUUUAAAAAUAAAAAUUGGUAAAAUAUUCUUAUUUUAAAAUUCAAAAAUUUUAUUUUACCCUAAACUCCAAUUUUAAACUAGGAUUAGAUACCCUACUAUAAGGAGCAAAAAUAUUAAUCUAAGCACUAAAAUCUUAUGAUUCAAACUUAAAGAGUAUGGCGGUAAGUUUUACUAUUAGGGGAACUUACCAGAUAAUAGACAACACACAUGUUGCUCAACUUAAAUUUAUAGUUUAUAUAUUGCCGUUGUAAGGUUACACUUAAAGUGUAACUAUAAAUGAUUAUUCAUUAAAAACAGGUCAUGGUGUAGCCAAUAUUUAAGUCUUAAGGUGAGUUACAAUAUAAAUUUUCAGGUAAAGAAUUAAAAAUCUUUAAAUAGUUGGACUUAAAAGUAAUACCAAAAAUUAAGAUUUGAAUUUUUAAAAACUUGUGCACAAAUCGCCCGUCACUCUCGUUGAAAAAUGAGAUAAGUCGUAACAUAGUAGAGGUAGUGGAAACUGUCUCUG
Molecule: ribosomal RNA, 695 nt
Filed under: Galba truncatula
Lineage: Eukaryota; Metazoa; Mollusca; Gastropoda; Lymnaeidae
Description: small subunit ribosomal RNA
Source: RNAcentral